AAAGCUUAUCUGGGAUUAUGAAGGCACGACAAAUGAUAAUAGAAAAACCAGGCAUGACUUGUAUCUAAAGCAAUUUAACAAACCAACCGGAACCAGAUCUAUCAGACAUCAAUGCAACACAGAAAGAAGAUGGGCACAUAGUCCAAAUGCCUUUAUUCCCCUGAAAACGAGUGAAGAAACCAGUUCCUCCUAAUGAAGUAACCAACGACAUUUUAGUGAGAGAAAAUGGAGGAAAUGCAAUCAAGGGUGAAUGGCCUAAGUCUACUAGCUUAACACAACAGAAGCUACAACAUGAUAAAAUUACUAGGCAUCUAACUCCAUGAAAUGAACAAAAUUAAUUUGCAUACAUAAUAGAUCAAGGAAUUCCUCAAUCAAUGGACAUCCUCAUAUACCCACAAAAGCACUUGCUCAUAUAUUUUGAAAUAUGACGCGUCCAAUUCGUUGCAUAAAGAGAUGUUGAAUAUACACAUAUUGUCAUGCACUAAAUCUACUUAUACAAAGUUAAACGAGAAUCUAUCCUCAAGAAU
This 527-nucleotide unclassified non-coding RNA is filed under the name Hevea brasiliensis (rubber tree). Lineage: Eukaryota; Viridiplantae; Streptophyta; Magnoliopsida; Malpighiales; Euphorbiaceae. The record is from RNAcentral.